UACGUAGGGUGCAAGCGUUGUCCGGAAUUAUUGGGCGUAAAGAGCUCGUAGGCGGUCUGUCGCGUCGGAUGUGAAAACCCAGGGCUCAACCCUGGGCCUGCAUUCGAUACGGGCAGACUAGAGUUCGGUAGGGGAGAUUGGAAUUCCUGGUGUAGCGGUGGAAUGCGCAGAUAUCAGGAGGAACACCAAUGGCGAAGGCAGAUCUCUGGGCCGUAACUGACGCUGAGGAGCGAAAGCAUGGGGAGCGAACAGG
This 253-nucleotide ribosomal RNA is filed under the name uncultured bacterium. Its description in RNAcentral is "partial 16S ribosomal RNA". It matches the Rfam family "Bacterial small subunit ribosomal RNA", at positions 524 to 776 of the family's 1533-position model. The record is from RNAcentral.